RNAcentral lists this ribosomal RNA (515 nucleotides) under uncultured bacterium. RNAcentral's name for it is "partial 16S ribosomal RNA". It matches the Rfam family "Bacterial small subunit ribosomal RNA", at positions 355 to 859 of the family's 1533-position model. The record is from RNAcentral.
UGGGGAAUAUUGCACAAUGGGCGCAAGCCUGAUGCAGCCAUGCCGCGUGUGUGAAGAAGGCCUUCGGGUUGUAAAGCACUUUCAGCGAGGAGGAAGGUGGUGAGCUUAAUACGCUCAUCAAUUGACGUUACUCGCAGAAGAAGCACCGGCUAACUCCGUGCCAGCAGCCGCGGUAAUACGGAGGGUGCAAGCGUUAAUCGGAAUUACUGGGCGUAAAGCGCACGCAGGCGGUUUGUUAAGUCAGAUGUGAAAUCCCCGGGCUCAACCUGGGAACUGCAUUUGAAACUGGCAAGCUAGAGUCUCGUAGAGGGGGGUAGAAUUCCAGGUGUAGCGGUGAAAUGCGUAGAGAUCUGGAGGAAUACCGGUGGCGAAGGCGGCCCCCUGGACGAAGACUGACGCUCAGGUGCGAAAGCGUGGGGCAGCAAACAGGAUUAGAUACCCUGGUAGUCCAGCGCUGUAAAACGAUGUCGAUUUGGAGGUUGUGCCCUUGAGGCGUGGCUUCCGGAGCUAACGCG